UUAUCCAAGGUAUUAAACACACACCGUUUUUGAAAGCUGGAGAGGGUUCUCCAUCCGACAAACGUUAUCAGCUCCCCACCAAGCAUGAGCUGAUUCAUUCACCUGUGAGGAGAACCAUCCUACAGCAGUUGAAGAUGAGAGGAGUGGAGAAUAUACACCAUUGAAGCCAACAGACAGAAGAGGAGAAGAGACUCCAACCUGACUACUGGAAGAGAGAACCAACUCGGUCUCCUUGGGGAACUAUGAGGUACAGACAGAAGAGUGAGGCAUCAGGCACAUGRCAGGAGAAAAUAGAGGGAGAGGACAAACAGAAGAAGUGUUGCCCAGGGGCUGAAGACACACGCCGGAACCAGCUGCACUCCUGAUCUGAGGACACAUGCUAGAGCCAGCUAUACCCUUCCUGUGACAUUAGAGGCUUGCUUUCUAUCCAAAUACAUAAUCAUGUAAGAAAGAAGAUAUACAUGUUUGCUGUGUGUGUCACGCGCUGGCCUUAGUAUUCUUUGUUUUCUUUAUUAUUUUAGUUAGGUCAGGGUGU
This is a long non-coding RNA of Salvelinus sp. IW2-2015, 535 nucleotides long. RefSeq lists it as uncharacterized. The record is from RefSeq and is a predicted model, not a curated record. NCBI's taxonomy places the organism in Eukaryota, Metazoa, Chordata, Actinopteri, Salmoniformes, Salmonidae.